CCGAGUUUACAACUCCCAAACCCCUGUGAAACAUACCUUAAACGUUGCUUCGGGCGGACCACCCUCGACUAACCUCGAGGGCCCGCCAGAGGACCCCAAACCCAACUUUGUGUUUUUUUUGUCUUACAAAACGAAACUUCUGAGUGGAUCUUAUAAAUCAAAUCAA
RNAcentral lists this unclassified non-coding RNA (166 nucleotides) under soil metagenome. Its description in RNAcentral is "partial internal transcribed spacer 1". The record is from RNAcentral.